CGUGCACUAAAUAAAGAUCUUCCCCCAGUUAACGGACAUGUGAAGUACAAGCAUGGCAUUACACAGCUUCAGCUGCCAGACAAAUAUUAUACCCAGAAAUAUUUUUAUCCUACAAGACCAUUUGAGUUUGAGUUAUGAGAACGACUCAAGGUUGGUGUAUUCCUGCAAUGACCGUGCGCAGGUCACAGCCGAUAUAAAGGGAACAUAAGAAUAUUAUGUGCGUGCAGCCAACAAUUACAUAAGAAGAGGUGAAACUGUGCCACCAGUUCUACCAAAAACAGUUAUAUGGGAUUAUCCACUAAACAGGGAUCUAGAGCACUGACAUAGGAUUUGUGUCUUUUCGGCCACAAUGGACAAUUUGAGUAUGUUCACCUAUUUCACCCAUUCACCUAUUUUCCCAAAAAUCGCAUGUGGGAUUUAACUCACAGGUCAGCAGGAAAAAGAUGCAAACAUU
Long non-coding RNA from Pelobates fuscus (common spadefoot toad), 454 nucleotides. RefSeq lists it as uncharacterized. NCBI's taxonomy places the organism in Eukaryota, Metazoa, Chordata, Amphibia, Anura, Pelobatidae. The transcript has 3 exons. The record is from RefSeq and is a predicted model, not a curated record.